UUGUGACUUCUACAUCCUUUCACC
This 24-nucleotide non-coding RNA is filed under the name Arabidopsis thaliana (thale cress). The record is from RNAcentral. Lineage: Eukaryota; Viridiplantae; Streptophyta; Magnoliopsida; Brassicales; Brassicaceae.